GCCUUGAAGGUUUAAAGUUAAACAUCUGGUCUUGUAAACCAGAAGAGAGGGUUAAAUCCCCUCUCAAGGCU
This 71-nucleotide transfer RNA is filed under the name Temnopleurus hardwickii. RNAcentral describes it as "tRNA-Thr". It matches the Rfam family "tRNA". From Rfam's summary of the family: Transfer RNA (tRNA) molecules are approximately 80 nucleotides in length. Their secondary structure includes four short double-helical elements and three loops (D, anti-codon, and T loops). Further hydrogen bonds mediate the characteristic L-shaped molecular structure. tRNAs have two regions of fundamental functional importance: the anti-codon, which is responsible for specific mRNA codon recognition, and the 3' end, to which the tRNAs corresponding amino acid is attached (by aminoacyl-tRNA synthetases). tRNAs cope with the degeneracy of the genetic code in two manners: having more than one tRNA (with a specific anti-codon) for a particular amino acid; and 'wobble' base-pairing, i.e. permitting non-standard base-pairing at the 3rd anti-codon position. Lineage: Eukaryota; Metazoa; Echinodermata; Echinoidea; Temnopleuroida; Temnopleuridae. The record is from RNAcentral.